UACGAAGGGGGCUAGCGUUGUUCGGAAUCACUGGGCGUAAAGCGCACGUAGGCGGAUCUUUAAGUCAGGGGUGAAAUCCCGAGGCUCAACCUCGGAACUGCCUUUGAUACUGGGGAUCUCGAGUCCGGGAGAGGUGAGUGGAACUGCGAGUGUAGAGGUGAAAUUCGUAGAUAUUCGCAAGAACACCAGUGGCGAAGGCGGCUCACUGGCCCGGUACUGACGCUGAGGUGCGAAAGCGUGGGGAGCAAACAGG
Molecule: ribosomal RNA, 253 nt
Filed under: uncultured bacterium
Lineage: Bacteria
Description: partial 16S ribosomal RNA
Rfam family: Bacterial small subunit ribosomal RNA
Source: RNAcentral